Hibiscus syriacus is the source of this 155-nucleotide long non-coding RNA. RefSeq lists it as uncharacterized. The transcript is spliced from 3 exons. The record is from RefSeq and is a predicted model, not a curated record. NCBI's taxonomy places the organism in Eukaryota, Viridiplantae, Streptophyta, Magnoliopsida, Malvales, Malvaceae.
UUUUUUUUCACCAAAAAUGGGGCAAUAGUAGGAACUUUUAGAAAGGAAAAGGAAAUGAACUGUUGCUUGUUUCCCACCAUUGCUGUUCACAGCCAAAAUGAGGAGGUUUAUGUCAACUUUGGGCAAAAGAAGUUUGCUUUUGAUCUGAAGGCAAG